This 253-nucleotide ribosomal RNA is filed under the name uncultured bacterium. RNAcentral's name for it is "partial 16S ribosomal RNA". It matches the Rfam family "Bacterial small subunit ribosomal RNA", at positions 524 to 776 of the family's 1533-position model. The record is from RNAcentral.
UACGUAGGGGGCAAGCGUUAUCCGGAAUUACUGGGUGUAAAGGGAGCGCAGACGGUAAUGUAAGUCUGGAGUGAAAGGCGGGGGCCCAACCCCCGGACUGCUCUGGAAACUAUGUUACUAGAGUGCAGGAGAGGUAAGCGGAAUUCCUAGUGUAGCGGUGAAAUGCGUAGAUAUUAGGAGGAACACCAGUGGCGAAGGCGGCUUACUGGACUGUAACUGACGUUGAGGCUCGAAAGCGUGGGGAGCAAACAGG